This 425-nucleotide ribosomal RNA is filed under the name uncultured bacterium. RNAcentral's name for it is "bacterial SSU rRNA". It matches the Rfam family "Bacterial small subunit ribosomal RNA", at positions 354 to 796 of the family's 1533-position model. The record is from RNAcentral.
GUGGGGAAUAUUGGACAAUGGGCGCAAGCCUGAUCCAGCCAUGCCGCGUGAGUGAUGAAGGCCUUAGGGUUGUAAAGCUCUUUCACCGAUGAAGAUAAUGACGGUAGUCGGAGAAGAAGCCCCGGCUAACUUCGUGCCAGCAGCCGCGGUAAUACGAAGGGGGCUAGCGUUGUUCGGAUUUACUGGGCGUAAAGCGCACGUAGGCGGUUUGUUAAGUCAGAGGUGAAAUCCCGGCGCUCAACUCCGGAACUGCCUUUGAUACUGGCAAGCUAGAGUCCGGAAGAGGUAAGUGGAACUCCUAGUGUAGAGGUGGAAUUCGUAGAUAUUAGGAAGAACACCAGUGGCGAAGGCGGCUUACUGGUCCGGAACUGACGCUGAGGUGCGAAAGCGUGGGGAGCAAACAGGAUUAGAAACCCUUGUAGUCC